This is a long non-coding RNA of Papaver somniferum (opium poppy), 1627 nucleotides long. RefSeq lists it as uncharacterized. The transcript has 7 exons. The record is from RefSeq and is a predicted model, not a curated record. NCBI's taxonomy places the organism in Eukaryota, Viridiplantae, Streptophyta, Magnoliopsida, Ranunculales, Papaveraceae.
UUUUUCUUUCUCUUUCUUCUCUCACUUUUUUCUCUCUUUCCCUUCUGCUCUUUUUUCUUCUUCUUACAAAUCGUCCAUGGCUUCACCACAAAUCUUUUUCGUUUUAUUUUGAAAACGCUAAAUCUUGAAUCUAAAACCCCCAAAUAAGAAACAGCUGCAAAGAAAAAAAAAAAAAGGAGAAUUUUUUUUUUACUGAAAUCUAAUCUGAUAGAUCGGGUUUGUUUUUCUAGUUUUGUUUUGGUUUACGUUUUGUGUAAAGAUGAUGAUGAAUAGUUUCAACAGAAACUUUUUUUCUGAUUUUAGUGGUGGUAUUGGUUUACUCAUUUCUGUGAUUUUUUUUUUUAAUUUUGAUUUUAAUUUCAGACAAUUAUACUGAUUUUACUUUUGAUUUCUUAUACGGGUUCCGCUGGUUAGUAAUUUUCUACUGAUUUUUCGUUUUUGGGAUGUUUUGCAGAGAAGAGGAGAAACAAGUAGAAGUUGGUUUUGGUGGUGGUGGUGGUGGUGAUGCGGAAUACUCAACGAUGGGCGGAACAGAGAAGGCUUAUUUGAAGCAGCUUAACACUGUUUAGGAGAGUUUAAUAAAACAUGUAAGGCAGAUGGUACCAGAAGAAACUUGUGUAUCCUUGAGUGCAUUGAGGUUUUGCAGCUUGGCGUUUUAGAUUGAGUCUUGAAACACUUGUGGAGGAUGCAUCAAAUUUGCUGAAUGAAAAAAUUACUGAGCAGUUGUUACAGUCCAAUGACUCUCAAAGGAAAACAACAAAGGAUGCUGGGAGAAUUGCUGGAUUAAAGGUUCUGCGUAGUAUGAAUGAGCCUACUGCUGCUUCUUUGGCCUAUGGGUUUGAGAAGAAAAAUUAUGAAAUUAUCUUAAUUUUUGAUCUUGGUGGUGGUAUCUUUGGCGUUUAAGCUCUCUUAUCUUGGUGUAUCAAACAUAUGUGGUUCAUUCUACUCUCAUACUCUGCAUAUUCUACAGCAGCUGAAUACAAGUGCUAGAAUGAAUAAUAUGGAAGUAGGCAACCACCUGAUGAACACAACAACGAUUCUGAUUUAUUGAGCUUGAAAGUGCCUGUACCUGCAAUAUCUAUGACAAGCAUAUUCGUUGGUGCACGUAGCAAUUACAGAUUCGAUUGAUAAUGGUUACUUUGCUCGUCAGUUGCGGCUAGUCACAACAUGUUGUGCUUUACAUUCUUACUGUGGGGAAAAUAUCCUUACAAGAAAGUCCUUGGCAGAGAUUGUGAUGGCAGAAGAUGUCCUGAAUGAGUUAGAUCAAGCUAAAUGUGGUGUUAUGAUUGGUUCCGCAAUGGGUGUCAUGAAGUUCAAUAACCUUUAUGGAGAUCGUCACUUCGUGAGGGCCAUUGUUGUCAUGACUGCUGGUAAGAUUGAUGUUGUUGCUGGAUACGGAGAUGUUGGUAAGGAAUGCGCUUCUGCUCUCAAGCAAGCUGGUACCCAGGUCAUAAUCAUUGAAAUAUUCUUUUAAAAACCUUGAACUUAUUAUUUAAGGCUGAAUCUUUUUUGUGUUAGUUUGAACCAAAUUCAUAAGUACAAUUUAGUGCAGUGGAAUUGUCAUUUUGUAUGGCAUGAAUCAGGUUUUAGUAAUUGAAUUUCAUUUUAAUUUAAUUUGUCAUUUGAA